GGUCCCAAGUAAUUUUGUUUAAAAUGUUCUAUUGAAGAUUGUAGUGGCUAUGCUUAUGGGAUAGAUUAAAAUUGCCAUGAUCUGAAGAGGGAGGGUUUAUUUGUGUCCUCCUCCUAUAUGAAAUGGCUGAACAGAAAGAA
This is a small nucleolar RNA of Molossus molossus (Pallas's mastiff bat), 140 nucleotides long. RefSeq annotates it as small nucleolar RNA SNORA29. The transcript has a single exon. The record is from RefSeq and is a predicted model, not a curated record. Lineage: Eukaryota; Metazoa; Chordata; Mammalia; Chiroptera; Molossidae.